Molecule: ribosomal RNA, 301 nt
Filed under: uncultured bacterium
Lineage: Bacteria
Description: partial 16S ribosomal RNA
Rfam family: Bacterial small subunit ribosomal RNA
Source: RNAcentral
CAGCCGCCGCGGUAAUACGUAGGGGGCAAGCGUUAUCCGGGAUUACUGGGUGUAAAGGGAGCGUAGACGGUUAAACAAGUCUGAAGUGAAAUGCCGGGGCUCAACCCCGGAGCUGCUUUGGGAACUGUAGAACUGGAGUGUCGGAGGGGUAAGCGGAAUUCCCAGCGUAGCGGUGAAAUGCGUAGAUAUUGGGAGGAACACCAGCGGCGAAGGCGGCUUACUGGACGACAACUGACGUUGAGGCUCGAAGGCGUGGGUAGCAAACAGGAUUAGAUACCCCUGUAGUCCCUGUCUCUUAUAC